Molecule: ribosomal RNA, 440 nt
Filed under: uncultured bacterium
Lineage: Bacteria
Description: partial 16S ribosomal RNA
Rfam family: Bacterial small subunit ribosomal RNA
Source: RNAcentral
CCUACGGGAGGCAGCAGUGGGGAAUAUUGCACAAUGGGGGAAACCCUGAUGCAGCGACGCCGCGUGAGUGAAGAAGUCAUUCGUUAUGUAAAGCUCUAUCAGCAGGGAAGAAAAUGACGGUACCUGAGUAAGAAGCCACGGCUAACUACGUGCAAGCAGCCGCGGUACUACGUAGGGGGCCAGCGUUAUCCGGAUUUACUGGGUGUAAAGGGAGCGUAGACGGCAUGGCAAGUCUGGAGUGAAAGGCGGGGGCUCAACCCCCGGACUGCUCUGGAAACUGUAAGGCUGGAGUGCAGGAGAGGUAAGUGGAAUUCCUGGUGUAGCGGUGAAAUGCGUAGAUAUCAGGAGGAACACCAGUGGCGAAGGCGGCUUACUGGACUGUAACUGACGUUGAGGCUCGAAAGCGUGGGGAGCAAACAGGAUUAGAUACCCUGGUAGUC